This 254-nucleotide ribosomal RNA is filed under the name uncultured bacterium. RNAcentral's name for it is "partial 16S ribosomal RNA". It matches the Rfam family "Bacterial small subunit ribosomal RNA", at positions 524 to 776 of the family's 1533-position model. The record is from RNAcentral.
UACAGAGGGGGCAAGCGUUGUCCGGACUGACUGGGCGUAAAGCGCACGCAGGCGGUUGUGGGCGUCGGGGCUGAAAGUCCACUGCUUAACUGUGGGCUUGCGGUCGAUACGGGCAUCACUGGAGUUCGGCAGGGGAGACUGGAAUUCCUGGUGUAGCGGUGAAAUGCGCAGAUAUCAGGAGGAACACCGGUGGCGAAGGCGGGUCUCUGGGCCGAUACUGACGCUGAGGAGCGAAAGCGUGGGGAGCGAACAGG